This 425-nucleotide ribosomal RNA is filed under the name uncultured bacterium. RNAcentral describes it as "bacterial SSU rRNA". It matches the Rfam family "Bacterial small subunit ribosomal RNA", at positions 356 to 773 of the family's 1533-position model. The record is from RNAcentral.
AGGGAAUUUUCCACAAUGGACGAAAGUCUGAUGGAGCAACGCCGCGUGAACGAUGAAGGUCUUCGGAUUGUAAAGUUCUGUUGUCAGGGACGAACAAGUACCGUUCGAACAGGGCGGUACCUUGACGGUACCUGACGAGAAAGCCACGGCUAACUACGUGCCAGCAGCCGCGGUAAUACGUAGGUGGCAAGCGUUGUCCGGAAUUAUUGGGCGUAAAGCGCGCGCAGGCGGCUAUGUAAGUCUGGUGUUAAAGCCCGGGGCUCAACCCCGGUUCGCAUUGGAAACUGCGUAGCUUGAGUGCAGAAGAGGAAAGCGGUAUUCCACGUGUAGCGGUGAAAUGCGUAGAGAUGUGGAGGAACACCAGUGGCGAAGGCGGCUUUCUGGUCUGUAACUGACGCUGAGGCGCGAAAGCGUGGGGAGCAAAC